CAAGGCGACGAUCCCUAGCUGGUCUGAGAGGAUGACCAGCCACACUGGAACUGAGACACGGUCCAGACUCCUACGGGAGGCAGCAGUGGGGAAUAUUGCACAAUGGGCGCAAGCCUGAUGCAGCCAUGCCGCGUGUAUGAAGAAGGCCUUCGGGUUGUAAAGUACUUUCAGCGGGGAGGAAGGUGUUGUGGUUAAUAACCGCAGCAAUUGACGUUACCCGCAGAAGAAGCACCGGCUAACUCCGUGCCAGCAGCCGCGGUAAUACGGAGGGUGCAAGCGUUAAUCGGAAUUACUGGGCGUAAAGCGCACGCAGGCGGUCUGUCAAGUCGGAUGUGAAAUCCCCGGGCUCAACC
Molecule: ribosomal RNA, 353 nt
Filed under: Salmonella enterica subsp. enterica
Lineage: Bacteria; Pseudomonadati; Pseudomonadota; Gammaproteobacteria; Enterobacterales; Enterobacteriaceae
Description: bacterial SSU rRNA
Rfam family: Bacterial small subunit ribosomal RNA
Source: RNAcentral